AUAUCAGUCAUGCAUAGCAUAUCAAUAAGCGGAGGAAAAGAAACUAACAAGGAUUCCCUUAGUAACGGCGAGUGAAGCGGGAAGAGCUCAAAUUUGAAAUCUUCAAGGUUUUACCUUGACGAAUUGUAGUUUAAAGAAGUGUUUUCUGUUGAAGUUUUGGUAAAAGUUCUUUGGAAUAGGACAUCAUAGAGGGUGAGAAUCCCGUAUUUGACCAUUACUUUCAGCUUUGUGAUACACUUUCAAAGAGUCGGAUUAGUUUGGGAAUGCAGUCCAAAAUGGGUGGUAAAUUUCAUCUAAAGCUAAAUAUUGGCGAGAGACCGAUAGCGAACAAGUACCGUGAGGGAAAGAUGAAAAGAACUUUGAAAAGAGAGUUAAACAGUACGUGAAAUUGUCAAAAGGGAAGCGUUUGACACCAGUGUUGUUUUCUCGAAAAUCAAUUAAAAAGAGUUGGAUUUUGUGUUGUAUUGACUUUAUCAGCUUUCUUCACUCUUUUCCAGCUUUUUUUAAUGCACUUUUCGUUUAACAAGUCAACAUCAGUUUCUUUUGUUGUAAAAAGGUCAUUGGAAGGUGGCUUUCUCUUCGGAGAAAGUGUUUAUAGCCUUUGACUCAUGCAAUCGGAGAGACUGAGGUCUGCAGCGUAGAUCCUUCGGGGUUAGAUACAUUUGUGCUAAGUUAUAGCUUUUCAUAGACAACUUGUUGACUAUGUUUAGUCUUGUAGCUUACUCGCUUAUGCUAUUUUACCUACGCUUAGGAUGUUGAACUCUAUCACACACAG
RNAcentral lists this ribosomal RNA (775 nucleotides) under uncultured Neocallimastigales. Its description in RNAcentral is "partial large subunit ribosomal RNA". It matches the Rfam family "Eukaryotic large subunit ribosomal RNA", at positions 22 to 621 of the family's 3401-position model. Lineage: Eukaryota; Fungi; Neocallimastigomycota; Neocallimastigomycetes; Neocallimastigales. The record is from RNAcentral.